RNAcentral lists this ribosomal RNA (952 nucleotides) under Xanthoria parietina. RNAcentral's name for it is "partial large subunit ribosomal RNA". It matches the Rfam family "Eukaryotic large subunit ribosomal RNA", at positions 1 to 969 of the family's 3401-position model. Lineage: Eukaryota; Fungi; Ascomycota; Lecanoromycetes; Teloschistales; Teloschistaceae. The record is from RNAcentral.
GACCUCGGAUCAGGUAGGGAUACCCGCUGAACUUAAGCAUAUCAAUAAGCGGAGGAAAAGAAACCAACAGGGAUUGCCUCAGUAACGGCGAGUGAAGCGGCAACAGCUCAAAUUUGAAAUCUGGCCUUAAGCGGGGUCCGAAUUGUAAUUUGCAGAGGGCGUUUCGGGCGACGCGCCGGUCUAAGUCCCUUGGAACGGGGCGUCAUGGAGGGUGAGAAUCCCGUAUGUGACCGGCGACCGAGCCUGUGUGAAACCCCUUCGACGAGUCGAGUUGUUUGGGAAUGCAGCUCAAAGCGGGUGGUAAAUUUCAUCUAAAGCUAAAUACCGGCCAGAGACCGAUAGCGCACAAGUAGAGUGAUCGAAAGAUGAAAAGCACUUUGGAAAGAGAGUCAAAAAGUACGUGAAAUUGUUGAAAGGGAAGCGCUUGCAACCAGACCUGCCCGCGGGUGAUCAGCUGUCCUUCGGGGCGGUGCACUCACCCGCGAUCAGGCCAGCAUCGGUUCGGGCGGCCGGAUAAAGGCCUUGGGAACGUGGCUCCCCUCGGGGAGCGUUAUAGCCCAGGGUGCAAUGCGGCCCGCCCGGACCGAGGACCGCGCUUCGGCUAGGAUGCUGGCGUAAUGGUUGUAAGCGGCCCGUCUUGAAACACGGACCAAGGAGUCGACCAACCGUGCGAGUGUUUGGGCGUCAAACCCACACGCGCAAUGAAAGUGAACGGAGGUGGGAACCCCUCGCGGGGCGCACCAUCGACCGAUCCAGAUGUCUUCGGAUGGAUUUGAGUACGAGCAUGGCUGGUCGGACCCGAAAGAUGGUGAACUAUGCCUGGAUAGGGUGAAGCCAGAGGAAACUCUGGUGGAGGCUCGCAGCGGUUCUGACGUGCAAAUCGAUCGUCAAAUUUGGGCAUAGGGGCGAAAGACUAAUCGAACCAUCUAGUAGCUGGUUCCAGCCGAAGUUC